GCCGACGUACUCCAACUGGCAGAGAGACGGGUCCUAGGAACCCGGCAGUGUGGGUUCGAAUCCCACCGUCGGCACCA
RNAcentral lists this transfer RNA (77 nucleotides) under Pseudonocardia sp. Its description in RNAcentral is "tRNA-Leu". It matches the Rfam family "tRNA". Rfam says of the family: Transfer RNA (tRNA) molecules are approximately 80 nucleotides in length. Their secondary structure includes four short double-helical elements and three loops (D, anti-codon, and T loops). The record is from RNAcentral. Lineage: Bacteria; Bacillati; Actinomycetota; Actinomycetes; Pseudonocardiales; Pseudonocardiaceae.